This 385-nucleotide long non-coding RNA is filed under the name Olea europaea subsp. europaea. The record is from RNAcentral. Lineage: Eukaryota; Viridiplantae; Streptophyta; Magnoliopsida; Lamiales; Oleaceae.
UUCCAGUUUCCUAAUUCUUCGUGUAAUCGUAUGAGGUGAAGUUUCCUCAUUUGUCCAAUUCUAACAACAGGGGCGAACCGGUGUCCGGCGAAGAGGAAAACUGGAAAAGAGGAGCAGAGAGUCGCGGAGACGAGACUGAGACCGACCACAACGAGGAGGCCCUAAAAAAAAAAAAAAAAAAAAAAAAAGAAUUAUUUCUGGGCCAAAAUUAGGCCCUCUCCGGUGUUGGGCCUAAUUUUGGAUCGAGGGAGAUAGGGAAGAAAGAGAGUAGAAAAUGGAAACGCUUGUGCGAGUGAUCUCUUCAGCGGCUGCUGAGUAGGGAUUGCUCGCUCGGACGGCGUUUGGUGGUGGGGUAGUGGGUUGAUGACCUGCUCGUGUCAGGUAU